AACCUGCGGAAGGAUCAUUGUCAAAAGACCAGAGCAACAAGUGAACCUGUUCAGCGAAUCCUCGUCCGCGCCUUGCUCUCCGGGCCACGAGCGAGCCGUCCCUGUCGUCCUCGCGCGGCACGUCCGGCGGCGGCGGCGAGGGUCAGGAGUCGUGGCACCGCGGGCGACAACAGCACCCUUAGGGCGCGGCAUGCGCCAAGGAUUAAUAAUUGACGCGGAAGGGGAGGCGGCCUAUGCUAAUAUGGCAGGGGACCCGCAGCCCGUCUGUGAAACGUUUAGACGACUCUCGGCAACGGAUAUCUCGGCUCUCGCAUCGAUGAAGAACGUAGCGAAAUGCGAUACUUGGUGUGAAUUGCAGAAUCCCGUGAACCAUCGAGUCUUUGAACGCAAGUUGCGCCCGAGGCCACCCGGCCGAGGGCACGUCUGCCUGGGCGUCACGACGCCCUCCGCUUCCCCUGCUUGGGUGACUUUUGUGGGGGGGGGAGCGUAGAAUGGCCGCCCGUGCCCGAGGGUGCGGCAGGCCGAAAGGAAGGACAGCGUGCGCCGUGGCGCGGCGUGUUGUGGAUGACCGGCGAGGUCAUCGCCUCGCGUGCGCCGCGCCGCAAAUCCCGCCGCGCGUGGAGUCGGACGUUGGACCCCAAUCGGACAGCGACCCCAGG
RNAcentral lists this ribosomal RNA (659 nucleotides) under Neocinnamomum caudatum. Its description in RNAcentral is "eukaryotic LSU rRNA". The stretch from base 282 to 437 matches the Rfam family "5.8S ribosomal RNA". Lineage: Eukaryota; Viridiplantae; Streptophyta; Magnoliopsida; Laurales; Lauraceae. The record is from RNAcentral.